RNAcentral lists this unclassified non-coding RNA (860 nucleotides) under Hevea brasiliensis (rubber tree). Lineage: Eukaryota; Viridiplantae; Streptophyta; Magnoliopsida; Malpighiales; Euphorbiaceae. The record is from RNAcentral.
UUUUUUUUUUUUUUUUUUUUUUUAUAACACAAAAUAGAGCCCUUUUUUUUUCUAGAUUCUUGUAGAAUGAUUAUAAAUAUAUUACAGGAAAAAUAGAGUACUCAUUUAGUGAGUUGAGAGUUGUACAAUGUUGACAAGCAAGCCUCUGCGGGCCAAAGGGUCCUUGUUCCCCUUUGUCUCUGGUAUAAUUACAGACACGAAAGAUGUACUGGACUGAUUCUUUAAGUGGACAAAUUAUAGAUUGGCCUAUCAAUCUCUGUCAAUACUAUUUGCAUUCUGUUCGCUGGACCGACAAAGCAUUCUGAAGAUGAGUGUCAAUCAACAAUUCAACAUUGCAAAGCAGUAGGCCUUAUCAGGGCGCUGGCGUUCAACAUCUUUGAAAAGAGCAUAGCCCACAAUAUUAGUCCACAUAUACACGUCUGAGAUAGGAUCGACCGAUUCAUCAUCUAUAUGUGAAAUACAAGGCUAAUAAGUUAUCUCAUUAAAUCUAAGAACACAAAGCCAUUCCAGAGGCUAUGCAAAAGCAUAGACGGCAUUAAAUUCCUUGACCUUGUAAAAAUAACACCCAUCACCAGCCCGAGAAAAAUAAGUGGAAGCAUUCUCUGUACAUUGAAAUGUGCUAGAGCAAAGGCAACUGAACUCACCAGGAUUGCACACCAUACAGGCAUGUACCUGGUUAAGGAAGGUAGAAGGAAACCCCGGAAGACGAUCUCCUCCCACAUAGGGGCACAAACUGAAACUACUAUCACAUACAGUGCCAUUGCCACUGGAUCUCUUGCUGCAAUAGACUGCUCGACACUUGAGAAAGUAACUGGCGUAGAAGGCAGAAUGGGCAAUAGGCUAAGGUUGAACUGUGAAAG